CAUGAUGCUAGAACCGAGGUCGGAGGAUGAAGAAGAAGAAGAAGAAGAAAGAGAGUCCAAAGGAAGCGAAAGAAGCAAAAAAUGCAAGGAGACAAAAAUCUCGAAGAAAGCUUUCCGAGGAGGGAGAUAGGCACAACUACCUGGAACUUGAAACUGGGGGACCACUCGGCCAGAGUCUCGACAACAGGGCUGUGAAAAGUGGAGUUUUGGAUACAGGUGACCCUAUAUAUAUAGUGCCCCUCGACGGUUGGGAUGAGAGCACACCCAACGAGGGUCUCUCGAAUUCUGACACAUGGCAGCAUCUGGGCCUUCCCUCGGUUCGACGAUUCGAUGCACCUGCCCC
Molecule: long non-coding RNA, 343 nt
Filed under: Elaeis guineensis (African oil palm)
Lineage: Eukaryota; Viridiplantae; Streptophyta; Magnoliopsida; Arecales; Arecaceae
Description: long non-coding RNA (EGUI_LNC079551)
Source: RNAcentral